Molecule: ribosomal RNA, 273 nt
Filed under: uncultured bacterium
Lineage: Bacteria
Description: partial 16S ribosomal RNA
Rfam family: Bacterial small subunit ribosomal RNA
Source: RNAcentral
ACUCCUACGGGAGGCAGCAGUGGGAAUAUUGCACAAUGGGGGAAACCCUCGAUGCAGCCAUGCCGCGUGUGUGAAGAAGGCCUUCGGGUUGUAAAGCACUUUCAGCGAGGAGGAAAGGGUGUAAGUUAAUACCUUACAUCUGUGACGUUACUCGCAGAAGAAGCACCGGCUAACUCCGUGCCAGCAGCCGCGGUAAUACGGAGGGUGCGAGCGUUAAUCGGAAUUACUGGGCGUAAAGCGUGCGCAGGCGGUUUGUUAAGCGAGAUGUGAAAG